GUCAGUUUGGCCGAGUGGUUAUGGCGUGUGACUCAAGCGAUUCUUCCGAAGAGCUUCUCAUCACUACGAUAGAGAGUAUUCUCAUGUGCUUUGCACGCAAGGGUUCGAAUCCCUUAGCUGACA
Molecule: non-coding RNA, 123 nt
Organism: Ascochyta clinopodiicola
Lineage: Eukaryota; Fungi; Ascomycota; Dothideomycetes; Pleosporales; Didymellaceae
Source: the annotation of a GenBank genome assembly